AUUGAACGCUGGCGGCAUGCUUUACACAUGCAAGUCGAACGGACUUGCGGGGCUUGCUCCGCAAGUUAGUGGCGAACGGGUGAGUAAUGCAUCGGAACGUACCGUGUGAUGGGGGAUAACUAACCGAAAGGUUGGCUAAUACCGCAUACGCCCUGAGGGGGAAAGAGGGGGAUCGCAAGACCUCUUGUCAUACGAGCGGCCGAUGUCGGAUUAGCUAGUUGGUGAGGUAAAGGCUCACCAAGGCGACGAUCCGUAGCGGGUCUGAGAGGA
This 270-nucleotide ribosomal RNA is filed under the name uncultured bacterium. Its description in RNAcentral is "partial 16S ribosomal RNA". It matches the Rfam family "Bacterial small subunit ribosomal RNA", at positions 30 to 300 of the family's 1533-position model. The record is from RNAcentral.